AUUGAACGCUGGCGGCAUGCUUUACACAUGCAAGUCGAACGGUAACAGGCCGCAAGGUGCUGACGAGUGGCGCACGGGUGAGUAAUGCAUCGGAACGUGCCCAGUCGUGGGGGAUAACUACUCGAAAGAGUAGCUAAUACCGCAUACGAUCUAUGGAUGAAAGCGGGGGACCGUAAGGCCUCGCGCGAUUGGAGCGGCCGAUGUCAGAUUAGGUAGUUGGUGGGGUAAAGGCUCACCAAGCCAACGAUCUGUAGCUGGUCUGAGAGGACGACCAGCCACACUGGGACUGAGACACGGCCCAGACUCCUACGGGAGGCAGCAGUGGGGAAUUUUGGACAAUGGGUGCAAGCCUGAUCCAGCAAUGCCGCGUGCAGGAAGAAGGCCUUCGGGUUGUAAACUGCUUUUGUACGGAACGAAACGGCUCUGGUUAAUACCCGGGGCUAAUGACGGUACCGUAAGAAUAAGCACCGGCUAACUACGUG
This 482-nucleotide ribosomal RNA is filed under the name uncultured bacterium. RNAcentral describes it as "partial 16S ribosomal RNA". It matches the Rfam family "Bacterial small subunit ribosomal RNA", at positions 30 to 507 of the family's 1533-position model. The record is from RNAcentral.